GUUUUCCGACUUUCAGACCUAGAGCUUUGGUAUUAUCCGAUGACUUUGUCUUCGCUCGAUAGACGUUUUGGGUAACUUCCGACGUCUGUGACCUUAUUCCGGCGAGUUUCAGAACCUACGGUUUCCGGUGUUAGACCUAGGGUUUUCUCUGUUGAUUAAAGGCCGAUCUUCUCCGGUCGUGAAGAAGGAGGGUAACUCUGUCCUUAUUUUGAGUAUUGUACGCUUUGUAUGUGAGUAUCUGGUUCAGUUAUAUUUUUCUUGCCGAAAGUGUUUUCCUUUCAAACUGGUUCAUUAAUCAUGGCUUAUAAUACGAAUGCUAGUACCUCAUCGAUAGACUCUACCAGCCCCCUUUUUGUGUACUCCUCUGAUGUACAUGUGGUCUCUCUUGUCCCCACUCCCUUCUCGGACAGUGGUUAUGGGGGUUGGAGGAGAA
Molecule: long non-coding RNA, 433 nt
Filed under: Nicotiana benthamiana
Lineage: Eukaryota; Viridiplantae; Streptophyta; Magnoliopsida; Solanales; Solanaceae
Description: long non-coding RNA (NBEN_LNC015187)
Source: RNAcentral